AGUGACCUCAUGACAUCCACACCACCUCCCAACAUUGUCAUACAGUGAUCAAGCUUCUUAGCCAUGAGCCCUCUGAUUACACUCACACUAUAGCAGGGCUCGUUCGUAUUUUCUAAAAAUAAUUUUGUAAGGCCAUCACAAAACACAGCAAAUACCAGAGUUAGAGGAAAGGUUUAUUGUUGGGUGGGGGAAGCCUGACAGGCCAGGGGGAGAGGGCGAGAGAGUAAGAGAGGGUAGAAGAGUGUAAGAGAGAGAGAUCAAGAGAGCAUGUGUUCAGGAACAGGUCCUGUUAAACUUUUGCUGGGGGGUGGGCAGGGAAAUAGGAGCAUCGAAUCCCAUUAGGGUGGGGGUGGGGCUGACAUUGGUGGUUGGGCCAAGGGGCUUAGGACCGAAGCCUACUGUGCAACAUGGAGACCGGGGCCAGGGCGUAAGAUAGCGAGUGAGGCAUUGAUGGUGCCACAGAUAAGACCGCACCAUUUUACUAACAAAUUUACUUUCCCUCUAAAUUCCCUACAUUCCCCUAUGAAGAGUGUGUAUGAGCCCAUAAAACCCAGUGGUUUUGGAAGAACCAGCCAGAGGGAAUGUCUUUGCUGAACCAUAGAGUCUUAGCCAUACAGACUGGUAGAGCUAGAAGAUGCCUUAGAUUAGCUCUUUUUGUUUAAAUAAUUUAUUCAUCCAUCCAUUCAGAGCAUUCUUAUUAAUCUUGGAGCUAUACAUCUCUGCCCACAGAAGAAAAUUUUUAGCAAGUGACAAUUUCUUGCCUUUGGUGUUUUCUAAAACAAGCCUGUGUCUCAGAAGAACCUUCCCAGCUCCCCUGGCCUCAGGAAAUGCUGUUUAUCCCUCCAAGCCCAGAGCAGGUGUCGAUUCCUCAGGAAACCUCUGACUCCUUGCUCUAUCCAAGAAGAUGAGUUUGUUCUUCCAAGGUGUUGCCCUUGAAUCCAUCAUCUCUGUGUUUCUACCCUUCUUUUAUUGAUCAAUGAACUUCUCUGCACUUAUUGUCUCUUGCUAGACAGCUGGAAGAUUGAGAAUUGUCUUACCCAUUUCCAUUUGCCAGAGCCUGACACACAGUAGGUGCUCAAUAAUCAUGUAUUGAAUUGAUUUACUUGCUCCACAAGUACUUUAGAGUCCCUACUAUGUGCCAGACAUUCUUCUGAACAGAGAACAGAACAGGCAAAUGUCCCUGCCAUCCUAGACCUGCCCUGCUGAGGAAGGGAGUGGGAGAAAUAAUCAACUAAAUAAAUAAGCGAGUAACACAGUAUGUCAGAUGGUGGCAAUGGAGAAAGUAGAUUGUGGAAGGAGCUGUGGAGUGGGGAUGGGGUUGUAGUUACAAACAGGGGAUCCUGCAAAGACUGAAGAGGGGGGCAGAGGGAACCAUGAUGCUGUCUGCAGGGCGAGGGUCCUAAAGCCGGUGUGGUGUGUGCAAAGUCCUAGAAGCAGAAUGUGGCUGCAGCUAGGUAAGUAAGUGACAGGAGUAAGGCUCAGUGCAUUGAUUUGGAAGAGGAAGAGAAUGGAGUUCUUGACCUCCAGAGACUUAGAGACUCAAAGGGAAGCCAAGACUCAGGAAGGUGAAUGUUUUUCUUUGGAUCACACAGCACUGCAGCAUGAAGAUAAAUGGCCCUGCCGCCUUACAGGAAGCAUGUCUUGUGUCCUGCCCUGAACAAAGGAAGAGGAUGAGAUUCAGCCAGACGCGGUGUCCAGGGAGGGCGUGUCAGUCAGAGCCUCAGCGCUGCCAGCAAUUUUGAAGCUACCCAUAUUUCUGCUCAUGAGGGACAUUUUCUUGUUCUGCAACCUUUUAGCAGAUGACAAGCAGCUAGGCGAUCCUGGCGGAGCUUUCUCGGAUGCCCUAUAUGUCUGGGAGGAAGGGAAAGGACAAGGGCGCGCUGAUGCAGUGGUGGUCAUUACCAUUGUCAGCAGGCUCGUCAACAUCAUCAACAUCAGCACCAUUUUCAAUCAUGAUGAGGCACAAGAAAGUGUACAGCCUGGCUCCUGUGAAAAAUGUACCAUUGUGGUCAGGUAGAUGGUUCUACCCACCCAUUUCUCCAUUCACAUAUUCAUUCAAUCAUGCCCUCAUCCUGCACGCUCCUACUGAGCUCCUGUUACAUUCUGGAUGAUUAUUGAGGAUCCAAAUGGAUACUCUUUGCCCCUGGGGCAGGUGUUAGGGGAAGGCUGCACAGAGAAGAGAAGCUCUGCUUAGCUCAAAGGAUGGACAGAAUUGUACAUAGAUGGCAGAAUAAAGAGGGGAUGUUCAGGCCAACGGAGCAGCAAGUGCAAAGAAGAAGAGGCAACAAAGGGUGUGGCAUAUCUAGGGAAGACCAGAAGUCCGUUGUGUGUGGCUGGCACAUGGGAGGGGAGCGCUGGGGUAGCUAAAAGGCAGGUAGGUUGGGCCAGAACUGAGGGUCGAUCUGUCUGCCAUGAUAAGCUUCAAGGUACUUCUUCCUCCCAGCAACCAGGAGCAGGGGAGUGACAUGAUCAAUGGAGUUUUUCAGGAGACCUCCUGAUUGCAAUGCAGAGGAUGAGGAGGUAGCAGGGACUCAUCCCUGUGAUUUCUCUAGAAACCACGUGGAUCCAGAUAAACAGAGCAUGGGGGAUGAUGGAGAUGCGGUUCAAGGAGAAUGUGGAGAGGUGAGCAAGAUAAAGCCCUGCUUGUGCAGUUCAGAGGGACCCAGCAGCCUUUCUGAUAAAUUGUGAGUGUAUUCCCACCUGAUAGCAGGAGGCUGUGAAGCCCUCAAAUGUUGACCUCCACAGAGGACAGGUUUGAAGAGUGGAUUUGGAGCCAUCAGUGUUGAGAUGGAAGUGGAGGUCAUGGCACUGGGCAUUGUGGGAGCACAGGGGAAGGGCACCUAGCUGACAUGCAGAGUCAAGAAAAGCUUCCUGGAAGAAUGGUUGUCACUCCAUCUUGAAGAGUGAGAAGAGAAAGAGACAUUGAGGUCUGAGAGUGGAGAUUUGGUGGAGGUAGGAUGAGGGUGGGUGGCGCUGCAGUUAGGGUAGGCAGACAUGAACAUGAAGGAAUGAAGCCCGUAACAAACGUGCAUGUGUGUGUGUUUGUAUGUGUGUGUGUGUGCGUGUGUGUGUGUGAGUGGCCAUGCACAUGCACCUGAGGAGUGGUUGCAGUGAUGACAAGAAAGAAGACAGAUGGAUAUCAAGGAGAUGUCUCAAUAUGGUGAAGCAUGAGGAAUGAUAAGAACUUGAACUAAGCUCCGACAGAGGGGACAGAAAGGGCAGCACUGAUUUGGGAGGCAUUUAUGAACAGGAAGAGCAGCACGUUUCAGUCAAGGAGAUGAUGUGGUUUCAGAUUCCAGGACAGAAUCACCAACCUCUAUGGCUACAAUAGGACCCACGUCUGCCAGCUGCCAGUACCUUCAUGGUGUGUGGUGCAUGUUUCGCUGGGUUCUGAAUCCCUGGGGAUGCUCUGGGAAGUUGUAUUUUUCCUGGUAAUAUGGAAAGGGAUGAACAGGCAGCAGGCAAUGUCUCUUCUCUCUUUCUUAUUGCCUCCUAUUCAGCAACCUCAGGACAUUUUGAACCAAUAAGAGGAGAAAAAGUCAUGAGAACAGCCCUAGGGUGGGCACUGUGCAGUGGUUAGGACACUGCUUUGGACACUCGCAUCCCAUUCCAGAGCACCUGGGUUCGAAUUUUCGCUCCACUCCCAAUUCCAGCUUCCUGCUAAUGCACACUGUGGGAGGCAGCAGGUGAUGGCUCAAGUAGCUGAUUCCCUGCCACCCAUAUGGAGGACCUGGAUUGAGAUCCUGGCUUUUGGCUUCAACUUUGCUUAGGCCUGGCUGUUGCUAUCAUUUGAGAAGUGUGCCAGUGGGUAGGGGGUCUCUCUCUCUGCUUCUCUCUCUUUCAAAUAACAUAAACAAGCAAAUAAAAAGAAAACAGCCAUGGUGCUGGCCUUGACAUCAUAGAGUUAUUGAAUGUAUGCCAGCAGCCACUUACCUCCAUACUACCUGAUAAUGGCCUGUUUCAAUCAGGCUUUCUGGUAAACUGCGUGAACAUACUACUUGAUACAGCAAAGUCAAGGCUGCAUUAGGCCCAGCCCUCUGGAGAGCAUAGAGCUGCAGACUGUGGUUUGGGGGCCAUAAGUGCGUAUUUGGAAGGUGGAGUCAGGGGCUGGUUACAUAGAGUGACUAGUGAAGAGGGAGUGACUGGCUUUCGGGGAGUCAGAAAACUGGGAAAAAUGAUCUACGGAGGCCAAGUGUGAAGUUCAUUGUCAACAACUUGAUGGAUGCUGGGCUGCUUUCUCUCUCUGGGCUUCACAUCAGUCACUCAUUUAACACUUGUUUACUAAGAGAAAGUCCCAUGCUUGAGUGGCUGUGGCAGUUACACAGCUGUCCUUUUGGGCACGGGCUCUGUGAUUUCUGGAGAGCCCCAUCCAGCAUUUCCCUGUGUGCGGAAGAGGACCUGUCUUGUUUCUGAGUGAGCCGCCUGGCAGUACUCUGUGGCUGUUGCCCUUGUCUGUACUGGGCAUGGUGCAGGGAAGAGUAGCUGAUGUUUGACCCUAGAUAGUCCACAAGUUCAACUGUGUGGGGUCUGGGAGUCUUUGAAAAAGCCACGCACCAUGAACAAGGUCAAUGCUUGCCUUUGGACAAGUCAGUGUUCUCUGUGACUUGUAAAAGCUAUCAGAUUGCGGUAUCCUCACUGCUCUUUCUUUAUAGAGGACCCUGGCUUCUUUACUUCGUGGUGUAGAUCAGCGAUAUGAUGACAUCACUGGAGGGGAGUUGGCUGCAGCAGGAAUCUGCCAGGUCGCAGUUUUUGGUUCUCCUGGAGCCAGCACAGUAUGUGCUCAGAGAACAGUGGCUGUGGCAUCAACAUUCUUGAACCCCAGCCUCAGUCCCAAGAUCAGUGAAGGAGCCUCAUUUGUAAAGUGGGGAUCAUAUUGAGCUAAGUUAUAUGCUGUUUGCCACAGCAACUGAUUGUAGGGGGCUGUUGAGCUCCAUCCCCUAUUUUUUUUUAUUUCAUUACAUUAAAAGCAUUACUUCUAUUUGCAAGGCAGAGCAACCUUCCAUUUGCUGGCUCACUCCCCAAAUGUCUGCAUCAGCUAGGGCUGAGCCAGGCAGAAGCCAGGAGUCAGCAAUUCCAUCUGGGUCUCCCACAUAGGUGUCAGGGACCCAAGUACUUGAGUCAUCAUCUCCUGCCUCCUAGGGUAUGCAUUAGUAGGAAGUUAGAUCAGAAGAGGAGGUGGGACUCUAUCUCAGGCACUCUGAUGUGGGAUCAGAGCAUUUCAGGCAGCAGCCUAAUAGGCUGCACACCAGAACCCUCCCUCACUUAAAACACUUGACUCCUAUGUAAUGCUAGCUUGUACAUCUUCAUGGGCCACAGUGAAACAUUACGAUAGAUGCAUUCAGUGUGAACUGAUCAAGUCAGCCAACCAGCAUUCUCACCUCCCCUUCUCCCCCCAGGUUUGGAGUCUACUAGCUGUCUCCUCCAGAUCAUUACACAGUGUAGAAUAAACUAUAGUGAUCUGCAGUUGCCCCACUGUGCUGGGGAGCACCAGAACCCGCCUAUUCUAGAUUUUGGUACUCCUUGCUUUUCACAGCCUCAUGCAACACACCUUCAACAUGUAGGGAGCUUCAGAUUCAAGCUGAAUUCUGUCUUCAACAAUCUGAUCCAUUUCGAGUCUCCUCUCCUUGCAGGGGCUUGGCCCUGGAAAUGAUUUUUGAAGGCUUCUCUGAUUUGAACUACUCAAUGAUUCUGUUAAAGCUGGUUUCAAUGUCUGGAGUUUUUCUUUUUGCCAGAAGGUGGUGCUAUGAAGUCUCUUAUUUUAUUACGAACAGCUCUGUGUUUGCCUCAAGGUCUGGGUGAUCCAAGGUGGCCCCUUAGAUGGUCUGAAUGUGAACUUUUGGUGGUGAUGGUGUGGGAGUGUCGUUUUGUAGAUCCUAACUAUUCUUCAACCCCAGUCUUUCCCAGUCCUGCUAAGUCAGGCUGCAGUCUGGUCCAGCUCUUCUCAAGUCUCACAUCUGAUCUGUGCCUCCUAGGUUCUGUGGCCACAGAAGGGAGGCUGUGAGCCCCUGCACCAUGGGGAUGGCAGGUGUCUGAGGCCUGGUCCCCAAGACUAUGCUGGCGCAGGUUGCACCUGAGACUGGACUGGUUGAGGGCCUCAGCAGAAACAGUAUUUGGGCUUGGCCAGGCCUCCCAAGACCAUUUCCUACUGCUCACCCCACAGCCGCAUGUCCUCGUGUCCCUGCAAGCCUCAGGUCUCCUGUCCUGGGUUGCUUUCCCUCCUCAAGUCCAGAGGAAAUUGUUGGUUUUGCUGUGGAUCACUAUGUAGAAACAGCUGCUGUCUUCCACAUGGUGACAAGUCACAGCAGAGAGACGGAGAAAUUAGAAGUAUAGACUGAGGAGGAAGGAGAAGAGAGAAUGAAUGCGCCACUUCCCCGCUGUUUCCUCCCAAGUCAUAUUGGCAAGAUAAGUUGAGCCAAGAGGAGAGAGGAAUGUGAAUUAAAAAUUCAACAUGACACUGUUUUCGAAUGAACUGGACUGAAUUUUAAUAUCUAAAAGUGACUGAAAAACUAUGUUGCUAAGAGAUGGGAAGGGAGAUUUAACACAGCAACAUUGAAGCAGUGAUGAGAGGGAAUAAAGUCUCCAUGUUUGAACCUCACCAGGUUUGGAUUUGCAAACACUGGCUACAUUAUCAUUUAGCUAUUCAUCUCCUAGGAUAACUGAAUUAGCAAUGCUUCCUUCUCCUGGCAGCAGAGUUCUUGGUGUAGGCAAUGUCAUGUGUGUGUGAUCAGCAGUGUUUAGGAGAAAGUGUAUGUUAUGAUGAUGCUGUCAGCUUCUAGGGCCCUCAGGAGCCAGAAAGAUCACACAUGAGGGAAGCAGGCUUGGUUAGGACUGACAAGCCAGAGAGCUCAUGCCCUACUUAAAGGGUUGUUCAGCUGCUGCCUUGCAGAAUCAGUAGGGUAGGAGCUUGUAUUGUUGGUCAUGAGCACUAAAUCCUUGGCUUGGUUGCCACUAGCAUUCCCUCUGCCUCUUGUUGGAUUGCAUAGAUCUGCCAGUUCUUGACAUUUCUCUACCCAGCCCUUUCAGAUACAGUUUUGCUGUGUCCUCGCAUUGUGGUCAGGGGCACUUCCUCACUUCUCUCUGUGUUCUCUCUUGACUUUCUCAUGACUUGUGUUGGCUGAUGGUCUGUUAGCAGAUGAGGUUGAGAGGCAGGCUUGCAGUGCACUUGGACGAGUGGGUUUGUUGCCUUGUGCCUCUGCCAUUGCCAUGAGUAGAACAUGCUUGAGAUAGCCUGGCAACUGAUUCCAUAAGAGGAGUGAGAGGUAUUUGGAGCAGAGCUGAGCCACACCUGUCAAAUCCAUCUUGCGACAACACAUGAUGGCUGUUGCAGGCCUCUGAAUUGUGGGGUGGUUGGUCACAUAGCAAUUUUGCAGUGACAGUGAGACCAGCACAACCCCUCCAGCCAGCACUGACAUGGCAACUCUCUUUCUUGCUGAGUCUCUAGAUGGCCAUUGUUAAUCCACAAGAAUGAGCAGACCAGGUGAACUGGUGAACCAGGUGAACCUCCAGGGGGCACACAGAGAGCCUCUGAAGGCUGGCCUGGGGGUUUUGGGUGUGUUCAUGGUGCCUCUUCUUUGUCUGUUUUGUUUUUGAAUUUAUAGAGCUUUGGCUCUGCCACAGUGAGCUGUUCAAUACUCACAGGGUAUCUGAUUUUGUCUAUUUGGUCCCUUUUCUUAGCAUUUGUACUCUGGGCUUUUUACAGCUUCAAAGAGCUUCUCGCCCAUAUUCACUAAUUAAUUCAUUACUCCUGUGAGUAAAACCUGCAGCAGUGAGUGGAGAAUGUCAUUAGCAAGAAUACCAGAGGCUCAUUAUUUAAAAGAGGUUGUCCAAAUCCAGGCCCCCUCCACCAGAGCUGUUAACCACAUCUCUGCUGACAGUGCCUGAGCAGCAGGUGUAUAGCAGGGAGUUACCAAGCACUGAUUAUGUAUGCAGCUAUGCCCAGCGCCAUUGGGAUAAAGAAGCUGUAAAACAUGGUUUCUCUACCUUUAGUCUAGUGAGACUUUGGAGUUAUACAGACCUGAAUUUGAAUCCUGGAAAUUUAGAAUUGUGUGGCUUUGGGCUAAGUAGCUCCUGUAAGUUUCAAUUUCCACAUCUCUAAAUGCCUCUUUAGUGUCUAAGUGAGGAUGACCCCACAUGAUGCAAAUGGAAGUUUCAGUUCAAGGUCUGGACCACAGUAAGUGCUCCACCAAUAUGGUGAUUCCCAACCUCACUCAGCUGGUGCCUGGCACAGGCAUACAGGACACUGGGGCAGAGGGUUGAAGUAUUGGGAAUACCUUUAUGUCAUAGUUGAGAUGAGGGGGAUGGGAGAGAAGGACAUAGAAGGGCUGGAGAAGUAGGAGGGAUACCAGUGCAAUGCCAGCACGCAGAGGCCAAGGAAGAAUUUCAGGAAUGGUGAGGGUGGGGGGGUGUGGCACUCAGUCCUGUCCUGCACUAAGGAGAGAAAGAGCAAAUGUAGAUGGAAAACAUCCAUCCGUUCAACCCCCCAGAAGUUAUUAAGUGCCUGGGGUGGCCAUGAAAACACCCAUCCAAAGUGUGUGAGGGGAGCAUGACUGGCAGUCCAGACACGUUCUGCUCUCCAAACAGCCAUGCAUGAGUGUGGGAUAUGUUUCUUCUGGGCUUUUCUGUGAGACUCAGGUGGUCUAAUGGACUCCUCAUUGGCCCAAUCAAAAACAAUCUUAAAAUCAUUAUGGGUCUAAUAUUCUUCCUACCCCUCUCCUGGUACAGCUCUCAGAGCUGCACUUCGGUUCCAAGGAUCUCCUUGUUCCCUGUAACCCGUAUCUGUCACAAGUGGGAUAUACAACAUAUCUCUUGCUCUUCUAGCUUCAUCUGGGCUUUGGCUUUCUGGAAUAUGCAAAUUAACACCAACUAAUGGAGUGCCUAACAUGAGUCAUGCCAUAUAUUCUGCUUUGGAGAAAAUAGUGGUGGCCAAGACAAACAUUCCUAACCCCAUGCAGUAGUGAAGGUAAUACAGAAUGCAGGAUAAAUAGGUCAAUAUAUCUACCCAUUCGUCUGUCCACCCAUCCAUCCAUCCAUCCAUUCACCCAUCCACCCAUCCAUAAGAAUAUAAAUUUUAGACACUGAAGCUUGCUACGAAAAAACCCAACCCAACCAAACCUAACAAAAUCAAGGAGAUAGUUUAGAUUGGGGAGUGAGGAAGGGCCUUUGAAAUAUUCAACCAGAGACCAGAAAGUUGAGGAGUCAGCUAGUCCAGUGAUGGAGUUGUGGUCUUUGAUGAUUAAUUUUAUCUGUCAUCCUGGCUGUGCUAGGGGUCAAAUAUUCUGGAUGUUUCUCUAAGAGUGUUUUGGAAUGAGAUUAACAUUUAAAUUGGUGGUCUCUGAGUCAAGCAGAUUUCCCUUUAUAAUGUGGGUGAGUCACAUCCAAUAAGUUGAAAGCUGAAUGGAACAAAAGAUUGACCUCUUCCCAAUUAAGAGAGAAUUUUGGCCUUUGGACUUGAACCACUACGUUGACUUUUCCUGAUUCUCCUUCCUGACAACCUUCAGACUCCCCAUCCUGGGUCUUGAGCCUGCUAACCCAGCUUGCGGAUUUUGAACUUGUCAACCUUCCCCACUGUAUGAGCCAAUUCCCUAAAGCAAAUCUAUUUCUAUAUUCAUACACAUCCUAUUGGUUCUCUUUCUCUGGAGAGUUCUGACUAAUUCAGGGUGGGGAAGUAUUCUGUAUUCUUUGUAGAGAGAACAGCACUUGCCAAGAAGGGGAGUGUGUCUUCAAGUCAGCAGGAAGGCUACUGUGGCUGGGGCUUAGUGACAGAGGAGGACCUGGGGAGAGAUGAGGGCUUGCUGGAACCAAACCACAGGAACAGACAAUGUGGACAUUGUUGGUGACCUCUGAGAGCAUUGUUAGUCCAGCAGUGAGAGUGGGAGCCAAUAAGUGUUUCAGACCUAAGUGGGUGGCGUGGAAGUUGGAGUUGAGGAAUAGGCCAUUGUGUCUAGGCUCAGUGCUUACAGAACGAAGAGUAGCCUCAGUGGGGAUUUUUAAGAAAAAGAAUCUUGCUCACAGAUAUGAGCAGGCUAAAGAGUGAGAGAUUGAUUGACAUGGCAAGAGGGAGAGAGGGGAUAAUUGAUGACAAGGAGUCCCAGACACAGUGAAAGUUAGGCCAUUGUUAUUGAAGGAUGCCUCCUGUAAUGUAAUGAUGUCCUAAUAUCCAGGUGCUAUGAAUGUGAUGUAAUAAAGAAAAAAAAAAUCUAUCUUUGCAAAUGUAAUUAGGUUAAGGAUCUUGAGAUGAGAUCAUCCCAUAUGGGCCUUAAAUCUAUCACAGAAUAUUCUUGUAAGAGAAAGAAGAAAAGACACGGAAACACAUGAAGAGCAACUGGACCACGGAGACUACCCAGAGUGAGGCUGCCAAGGACGCCAGGGAUUGAGGGGAGCCAACAGAGCUCCAGCGGGAGGGCAGCCCUGCUGACAGUCUGAUUUAGGACCUGCAGCUUUCAGAACUCUGACAGAAUAAAUUUCCAUUGUUUUAGGGCACUGAGUACGUAGUAAUUUGUUGUGGCAGCCCUGGGAAACAAACACAGGAGUGACGGACCCAAAGUGACAUCUCUUCCUCCUAUAAAUGUGGGCAGCUCACCUGUUUGGGGAUAUGCACCUCCUGGGAUACCUCAUUACUGUGGGCUCUGUGCCUUCUCUUAUUGCUGUGUACAAUAAUUUUUAUUUAUUUGAUUCGAAAUGGAAACAGAGAGAGUGAGAGUGAGAGAGAGAGAGAGAAGAGAGAGGAACAGAGAUCUCCCAACUAUAGAUUCAUUUCCUAAAUGACAGCGACACGGGCUGGUGCUGUGGUGUAAUGAGUAAAGCUGCCGCCUGCAGUGCUAGCAUCCCACACAGGUGCUGAUUCGAGUCCUGGCUGCUCGACUUCCAAUCCAGCUCUCUGCUAUGUCCUGGGGAAGCAGUAGAAGAUGGCCCAAGUCCUUGGUCCCCUGCACCCACAUGGGCAACCCGGGAGAAACUCCUGGCUGCUGGCUUUGGAUUGACCCAGCUCCAGCUGUUGCAGCCAUUUGGGGAGUGAACCAGUAGAUAGAAGACUCUCUCUCUCUCUUUCUCUCUCUUUCUCUCUCUCCACCUCUGCCUCUCCGUAAUUCUGCCUUUCAAAUGUAUAAAUAAAUCUUAAAAAAAUGCCAGCAACAGUUUGAAGUUUAAUUCAGGUCUCUCAAAUGGGUGACAGUGACCCAAGUACUGGAGCCAUCAUCUGCUGCCACUCAACGUAUGAAUCAGCAGGAAGUUGGAAUGGAGAAUGGAGCUGGGACUCAAACCCAGCACUGUGAAUUGGCAUGUGGGCAUCCCAAGAAGCACCUUAACCACCGUGCCCCUCUUGUUGCUUUUGCCUAUUUUUCAUGCUUCCACCCAGGAAGCCCAGCGGUGUAGGGAAAUGAUAUGACCUCGGGAUGCAGACUUGCUAGAUUUUGAAAUACAGCUUCUUAUUUGCUUGCUUUGUGAUCUCUGAGCCUCAUGUUAUUCCAGGUUUCCUUGAGGACCAAAUGUUCCACUUCAUGUGGAGUUCUUAGCACAGGCCCUGGGGCUGGUGUACGCUUUACUUAUGUCCUUUCACCUCAAUGUGAUGUAUUCAUCUUUAUUCUCCUUUAAGAGUUAUUGGAUGUAAUACAUUCAUAAUAAGGAGUUAUUGACUUGUGAUUCGCUGAGAUUUUGAUUUGUUGUUAUUGUUGAUUGUUGAAGUAUCUAUGUAUUGAGUCACUGCUAUAUGUCAGGUGUCCAUCUCACCAUUUAAAUAAUGUAUUUAUUUAAUUCUCAUGCAUGCUAACAUUCAUGUACUAUCGUUGAAGGGGAUAAAAGCAGUGGAGGCAUAAUUGGCACCUGGAUCUGAUUCCUGGGUCCAUUGUACUAUCCUGAUGAAGAGCCCUUUCUGUCAAGCAAGUUGAAGCCUUUUGUGUUCUUGCCUUCACUUCCUAAGAGCUAGCCUAAGUCCCUCUUGCUGCAGUCUGUCUGUAGUCCCCUGCUAAGCCCCUGCCAGAGCCAAACCAUGUCCUGGCUGCUUUGCAGCUUUCUCAUCCAGUGUUUGUCUUUUUCUUUUCCCUUACUGGGUGUAGAGUUAAAGCCCAUUGCUAAGACCCUGUCUCUUCACAGAUCUUUUCACAUAACGUUUAAUGGCUUGUAAUGACUAUGACCCCAGUGGCAGUCACCUAGUGACCUUCAAGUUGGCAUUUCAGUUAGCUGUACUGAUUGCUGGGUUUGGGCAUUUCAUAUAUUUGUGAGUAAACUUAGCUGAAGAGCAGUCAGUUAAGGGACUUAGCACUAGCCUGCUUCUUUGGGGGAAGGGUGGGAAUUAAAAACCUCAUUGCAUUUUCUUUUGCUCUGGUUGAGAGAAAGAAAGAAAAGGUGACUCUCAGGCAGGCAGUCACAGCGGGAGGCUUAGCCUCCUGUCAGCUUAACAAGUGUGAGAAUUCCCUUUUCUCCCCUCUCAUCUUCCCCUUCUCUUCCUUCCUCUCCCCUCUCCCUGUCACCCCUUCCUUUCUUUUCCUCUCCUCUUCUUGUUUUUCUUCCAUUCUUCAUUUCUUUCUGGAUGAUUUUGGUGGACACAUUAAGAACUUAAUGUCUCCAUGCCUCAUUAGCCUAUGGGCACCGAUGGGGCAGAUUGUUAGAGUUGACCUUGGACUUCACACACAUACCUCAAUUGUCUGUGUGAGCCCUUGUGUCCCCUGUGAAGGCCAAGUCCUUCCUUCCCAGGUACCCCUGGGAGUCCUCUGCAUGUCUCAAGAUGCUUACCCGCCAGCUGCUCUGUGGUACCUGCCAUGCCUUUCCUCCCCUACAGGGAUCUUCUUCCACGGCGUCCUCUUCCUACUGGGCUUCCUGAGGCAUCUCACUGUGGCCAGUGCUGCUGGGAUCUCUGGUGGGAGGGUGGUAAAUCUGGGAGCACAGAGUCCUCUGAUGCUGCUGAGUUCAGCUGUCUUGGGGUGGGACCACCUGGAGCCCCCAGGAUUCAAAAGUUCAUGUCAUGAAGGGUUGGACUUGGCCCCUGGCCUCCAGAGAUUCAGAUACCCUUUGCUCUCCAUUUCCCCCUCUUUUCUCUUCUCUGGGUGUCCAUACCUCAGUGCUUCCCCUCUUGAAUGCCAUCUCCACCAUUCCAAAUAAAUAAACCAAACCCAAGUGACAGUAAAACAGGAAGAUGCACAGAUGUUUUGUGGGUUCAAGGGACACAAUACCACUUCAAAAAAAAAAAAAAAGAGUUGUUAAAAAUAGAAGCUUCUUUUUAAGCUUUUUUUUUUUUUUUUUUGACAGGCAGAGUGGACAGUGAGAGAGAGAGACAGAGAGA
Oryctolagus cuniculus (rabbit) is the source of this 13273-nucleotide non-coding RNA. Lineage: Eukaryota; Metazoa; Chordata; Mammalia; Lagomorpha; Leporidae. The record is from RefSeq and is a predicted model, not a curated record.